RNAcentral lists this ribosomal RNA (253 nucleotides) under uncultured bacterium. RNAcentral's name for it is "partial 16S ribosomal RNA". It matches the Rfam family "Bacterial small subunit ribosomal RNA", at positions 524 to 776 of the family's 1533-position model. The record is from RNAcentral.
UACGUAGGGGCCGAGCGUUGUCCGGAAUUACUGGGCGUAAAGCGCGCGCAGGCGGCUAUCCAAGUCAGUGGUGAAAGCCCGGAGCUCAACUCCGGAACUGCCAUUGAAACUGUUUAGCUUGAGGACGAGAGAGGUGAGUGGAAUUCCCAGUGUAGAGGUGAAAUUCGUAGAUAUUGGGAAGAACACCGGUGGCGAAGGCGGCUCACUGGCUCGUAUCUGACGCUCAGGCGCGACAGCGUGGGGAUCAAACAGG